Molecule: non-coding RNA, 21 nt
Filed under: Arabidopsis thaliana (thale cress)
Lineage: Eukaryota; Viridiplantae; Streptophyta; Magnoliopsida; Brassicales; Brassicaceae
Source: RNAcentral
GUGUUGGUCGAUUAAGACAGC